GGAUUAGAUACCCUGGUAGUCCACGCCGUAAACGAUGUCUACUAGCCGUUGGGGAACUUGAUUCUUUAGUGGCGCAGCUAACGCACUAAGUAGACCGCCUGGGGAGUACGGUCGCAAGAUUAAAACUCAAAUGAAUUGACGGGGGCCCGCACAAGCGGUGGAGCAUGUGGUUUAAUUCGAAGCAACGCGAAGAACCUUACCAACUCUUGACAUCCAGAGAACUUAGCAGAGAUGCUUUGGUGCCUUCGGGAACUCUGAGACAGGUGCUGCAUGGCUGUCGUCAGCUCGUGUUG
RNAcentral lists this ribosomal RNA (293 nucleotides) under uncultured bacterium. Its description in RNAcentral is "partial 16S ribosomal RNA". It matches the Rfam family "Bacterial small subunit ribosomal RNA", at positions 775 to 1067 of the family's 1533-position model. The record is from RNAcentral.